Molecule: ribosomal RNA, 468 nt
Filed under: uncultured bacterium
Lineage: Bacteria
Description: partial 16S ribosomal RNA
Rfam family: Bacterial small subunit ribosomal RNA
Source: RNAcentral
GACGAACGCUGGCGGCGUGCUUAACACAUGCAAGUCGAACGGAAAGGCCCUGCUUUUGUGGGGUGCUCGAGUGGCGAACGGGUGAGUAACACGUGAGUAACCUGCCCUUGACUUUGGGAUAACUUCAGGAAACUGGGGCUAAUACCGUAUAGGAGCUCCUGCUGCAUGGUGGGGGUUGGAAAGUUUCGGCGGUUGGGGAUGGACUCGCGGCUUAUCAGCUUGUUGGUGGGGUAGUUGCUUACCAAGGCUUUGGCGGGUAGGCGGCCUGAGAAGGUGACCGGGCACAAUGGGACUGAGAGACGGACCAGACUCGAAUGGGGGGCAGUGGUGGGGAGUAUGGCACAAUGGGCCGGAGUCUGAGGCAGCAACGCCGCGUGCGUGAAGACGUCCUUCGGGUUGUAAAACGCUUUCGCCUGUGACGAAGCGUGAGUGACGGUACUGGGUGAAGAAGCACCGGCUAACUACGUG